RNAcentral lists this ribosomal RNA (497 nucleotides) under uncultured bacterium. Its description in RNAcentral is "partial 16S ribosomal RNA". It matches the Rfam family "Bacterial small subunit ribosomal RNA", at positions 28 to 507 of the family's 1533-position model. The record is from RNAcentral.
GAUGAACGCUGGCGGCGUGCCUAAUACAUGCAAGUCGAGCGAACAGAUAAGGAGCUUGCUCCUUUGACGUUAGCGGCGGACGGGUGAGUAACACGUGGGUAACCUACCUAUAAGACUGGGAUAACUUCGGGAAACCGGAGCUAAUACCGGAUAAUAUUUCGAACCGCAUGGUUCGAUAGUGAAAGAUGGUUUUGCUAUCACUUAUAGAUGGACCCGCGCCGUAUUAGCUAGUUGGUAAGGUAACGGCUUACCAAGGCGACGAUACGUAGCUGACCUGAGAGGGUGAUCGGCCACACUGGAACUGAGACACGGUCCAGACUCCUACGGGAGGCAGCAGUAGGGAAUCUUCCGCAAUGGGCGAAAGCCUGACGGAGCAACGCCGCGUGAGUGAUGAAGGUCUUCGGAUCGUAAAACUCUGUUAUUAGGGAAGAACAUACGUGUAAGUAACUGUGCACGUCUUGACGGUACCUAAUCAGAAAGCCACGGCUAACUACGUG